RNAcentral lists this long non-coding RNA (272 nucleotides) under Gossypium raimondii (Peruvian cotton). Its description in RNAcentral is "long non-coding RNA (GRAI_LNC007106)". Lineage: Eukaryota; Viridiplantae; Streptophyta; Magnoliopsida; Malvales; Malvaceae. The record is from RNAcentral.
UACAUGUCUUGACUUUCUUUCUUCCCAAGUUUCUCACUCCUGCUUACCUCGAGGGGAUUCUCUUUAUGGUACGGCAAACAAAACCAAAACUAAUAUCCCUGGACCAAAAUACGAAUAAACUUGGUUAGUUUUCACACUUGGGGAUGUUCGAAUGGGAUGAACCAAUUUUUCAAACUUUCCAGCACACGGUUGUUGCCCUUGUCAGGCAAAUUGGCAAUGAUACGCCUGGCAAAACGUGCCCAACAUUUUUGCAAAAAAGGCUACAUACAUAC